CGAACGGGUGAGUAACGCGUGAGGAACCUGCCUCAAAGAGGGGGACAACAGUUGGAAACGACUGCUAAUACCGCAUAAGCCCACGGGUCGGCAUCGACCUGAGGGAAAAGGAGCAAUCCGCUUUGAGAUGGCCUCGCGUCCGAUUAGCUAGUUGGUGAGGUAACGGCCCACCAAGGCGACGAUACAUAGCCGACCUGAGAGGGUGAUCGGCCACACUGGGACUGAGACACGGCCCAG
This 237-nucleotide ribosomal RNA is filed under the name uncultured bacterium. RNAcentral's name for it is "partial 16S ribosomal RNA". It matches the Rfam family "Bacterial small subunit ribosomal RNA", at positions 99 to 334 of the family's 1533-position model. The record is from RNAcentral.